RNAcentral lists this long non-coding RNA (1675 nucleotides) under Marmota monax (woodchuck). The stretch from base 151 to 294 matches the Rfam family "small Cajal body-specific RNA 17". The record is from RNAcentral. Lineage: Eukaryota; Metazoa; Chordata; Mammalia; Rodentia; Sciuridae.
GGCGCAGCGGGAUUGGUUGGAUCUGCGCCUGCGCAGACCGCGGGGCAGAGGCCUAUGUCGCUGAGCUCCUCGCAGGACUGGGUUGGGGCUAGCAGAAGUGGCACCAGGAAUUUGGGAAAGUGAGUUUAGUGAGUGUAGUGGGGCGGGGCGCCCCUGGGUCUCCGAUGCGGCCCCGGGCUGAGCCCUCAGUAUUUUCCUUAUAUGAUCAGGCUCCAUUACGGGCAGCUCUGCUUGCCUAGAGCCUGAGAGGAUUAUGCAAAGGUUGCUGGUGAAGAGGGGCCAGGGGACCCGGCGCAGGGAAAUGAAGGAUGAAGGUCAGCGGGCGAGGCUAGGCUGGAGGGAGGUUUAGGGAGGCCUCUGUAACUGUGAGCCCUGGCCGAUGAUGACAAGACCACUGCGCAAUCUGAGUUCUGGGAACCAGGUGAUGGAGUGUGUUCUGAGAACAGACUGAGGCCGGGCGAGCAGGAGGUGGCCUUGGCAGAGGAAAGGCUGUGAGCUCCUUAGAGCCUGGGCUUGGUUGGAUUGCGUGGCCACAGGUCGUCAGCGAUUGCUUGCCCUAGAAUCGUGCUUCAAACGUUUUGGUGGCCCUCUUAUUGGCUCUUUGUUUUUUUAAUCCAUUUUUUUUUUAAUGAUGAAAACUUUCCAACAUACAGAAAACUGAAAAGGUCAUCAAGCCAGCUUUUUUUUUUUUUUAAGUACACUGCUAUACUUCCCCUCAGGAACACUUACCUGCCUUUAGAGUUGGGUAUUCAUUUCAAAGACAAAAUUUCUUUGCAUCCAUACUUACGAAUCACAAGUUAUAUAUUCACAAAAGAUACAUUCUUGUACACAUUCCUUUAUUCAGUUUGCCUUCCACAUAUUUAGGAAAGGAUAAAUACCACAAUUUCCCAUUCAUUCUGCAAAUCCCCAUCAGCAGGUACUUACAAAUUGUACUGUUUUCUCUGACUACAAAUGUUACUAAUGAGUAGAUCUUAAAAACAUUAAAGGUUAACAUAUAUCAACAUAUGUAAGGAUAUUCACACAAUUCCUUUCAGAAGAGGAGCUGUCACAAUGUGGAAAUUUUGUGGAUAUCACUUUAACCAAAUGAUAAGCUUGGCAUCAUCAAUAAUGGGCAAACUGACAUCCUCUUGCUAAAUAGAGAACAUACCACCCUUAUGUAAGACCCCCUUCCCCCAUGGCCUGAAUCUCAUCAUAAGACGAAUCCAAAUUGAGGGACAUUCUGCAAAACAACUGACCUGAAUUCUUCAAAAAUGUCAAUGUGGUGAAAAACAGAAAAGAGUGGGAAUGGUAUUUGAUUAAAGGAGACUAGAAAUGUGACAAUUUAAUGUGUGAUAUUAAUUGGAAUCUGGCUUUAAAAGCUCGAAAGGAUGGGAUGAAGACAAUUAGGAAAACAAAUAUAAAUCAUCCAGAGAUAGUAGUACUGACUUUAAAUUUCCUGAUUAUGAAAAUUAUGAUUAUGAUAAUUUUGUUAAAAUGCAGGAGACUGUCUUUUGUUUUUAGCAGAUAAACAAAUAUUUAGAAGUGAAGAAUUUGAUAUCUGCAACUCAUUCUCAAAAGACUAAAAAAUGUAUAUAAGGAAACUAGUAAAGAAAGAGAAUGCAAGUAUGCAAAAUUACUGAUUGGGGAAUCUAAUGGAGAGUAUAUGUUAAUUGUUCCAUUUUUAUAAGUUUUCUGU